UGUGUGGCACUGAGUGUAUUUGACAAGCUGAGUCCGACACUCAGUGAGACAGAGUGUCAGUUUGUCAAAUACCCCAAGUGAGGCAC
This 86-nucleotide microRNA precursor is filed under the name Xenopus laevis (African clawed frog). RNAcentral's name for it is "microRNA xla-mir-223 precursor". Its record names the gene xla-mir-223. It matches the Rfam family "mir-223 microRNA precursor family", at positions 20 to 98 of the family's 106-position model. The record is from miRBase by way of RNAcentral. Lineage: Eukaryota; Metazoa; Chordata; Amphibia; Anura; Pipidae.